AGAGUUGAUCAUGGCUCAGGAUGAACGCUAGCGGCAGGCUAACACAUGCAAGUCGAGGGGCAGCGCGGGGUAGCAAUACUCUGGCGGCGACCGGCGAAAGGGUGAGUAACGCGUGAGCAACAUGCCCGGGACUGGGGGAUAGUCGAUGGAAACGUCGCGUAAUACCCCGUAAUACACGGAACCGCAUGAUUCUGUGUUGAGAGAUUCAUUGAUUCCGGAUUGGCUCGCGUGCCAUUAGCUAGUUGGCGGGGUAACGGCCCACCAAGGCGACGAUGGCUAGGGGUUCUGAGAGGAAGGUCCCCCACAUUGGAACUGAGACACGGUCCAGACUCCUACGGGAGGCAGCAGUGAGGAAUAUUGGACAAUGGCCGAGAGGCUGAUCCAGCCAUGCCGCCGUGCGGGAAGACGGCCCUAUGGGUUGUAAACCGCUUUUGCGAGGGAGCAAUAAGGUCUACGUGUAGACCGAUGAGAGUACCUUACGAAUAAGCAUCGGCUAACUCCGUGCCAGCCGCAGC
Molecule: ribosomal RNA, 515 nt
Filed under: uncultured bacterium
Lineage: Bacteria
Description: bacterial SSU rRNA
Rfam family: Bacterial small subunit ribosomal RNA
Source: RNAcentral